RNAcentral lists this ribosomal RNA (395 nucleotides) under uncultured bacterium. Its description in RNAcentral is "bacterial SSU rRNA". It matches the Rfam family "Bacterial small subunit ribosomal RNA", at positions 505 to 898 of the family's 1533-position model. The record is from RNAcentral.
GUGUCAGCCGCCGCGGUAAGACGGAAGGUGCAAGCGUUGCUCGGAAUCACUGGGCGUAAAGGGUGCGUAGGCGGCUUGGUGGGUCUGGCGUGAAAGCCCAGGGCUCAGCCCUGGAAGGGCGCUAGAAACUGCCGAGCUGGAGUGCCGGAGGGGAGAGUGGAAUUCCUGGUGUAGCGGUGAAAUGCGUAGAUAUCAGGAGGAAUACCGGUGGCGAAAGCGACUCUCUGGACGGCAACUGACGCUGAGGCACGAAAGCGUGGGGAGCAAACAGGAUUAGAUACCCUGGUAGUCCACGCCGUAAACGAUGGGCACUAGGUGUCGGGGGUAUCCACUCCCUCGGUGCCGCCGCUAACGCAUUAAGUGUCCCGCCUGGGAAGUACGGUCGCAAGAUUAAA